Molecule: long non-coding RNA, 230 nt
Filed under: Gossypium barbadense (sea-island cotton)
Lineage: Eukaryota; Viridiplantae; Streptophyta; Magnoliopsida; Malvales; Malvaceae
Description: long non-coding RNA (GBAR_LNC007537)
Source: RNAcentral
GCUAUGGCAAUAUAUGAAGUCCACCAAGAUGAUGAACUAGUAAACUAACAGGGCACGAAAAGGGGACAUCGCUGACUAACUCACACAACGGAUAGUAUAACGGAAUAAUCGGGGCGUGUUUCGGAAUGCAGACAAAUGAGAUAAUAAGGGAAUUCACCAUAAUGCAAUGGUGAGUGUAGCCAAAGAAGCAUCUUAUCACAGGUAUGUAUGAAAGGAGAGAGAAAUUCUUU